This 116-nucleotide ribosomal RNA is filed under the name Pteropus alecto (black flying fox). The record is from RNAcentral. Lineage: Eukaryota; Metazoa; Chordata; Mammalia; Chiroptera; Pteropodidae.
GCCUACAGCCAUGCCAUCCUGAACAAGCCCGAUGUCUGAUCUCGGAAGCUAAGCAGGGUCGGGCCUAAUUAGUACUUGGAUGGGAGACCACCUAGGAAGACCAGGUGCUGCAGGCA